Molecule: long non-coding RNA, 435 nt
Filed under: Vigna radiata
Lineage: Eukaryota; Viridiplantae; Streptophyta; Magnoliopsida; Fabales; Fabaceae
Description: long non-coding RNA (VRAD_LNC000453)
Source: RNAcentral
UACUUUUGAGAUUAAUGAGAAUAGAAUUUUCUAAAUUCAAGAAACUAUUCUCUCUUGAAAGUCACAAGGCUAUAGAGUCCAAAGACUCCCUCUAGCCACCUUCCAAGGCACACUUCCUAUUUUUCACUUUCCAUUUUCCCUUGUGCCUUCUCUCUCACGACGUCACUCCUCCACGUUGCACCACUCGUCAGAAGCCAUAACUCUGCUUCUUGUGUCAGCGUCUCGACCACACAUUUUCAGUCUUCGUCCACGCGUCAGAAACUAUCGCUUCUCAUCUUCAUUUCGCACAUCAGAUUUGCACCACAGAGCCAUAUUUUAUUUCUCUCCCGCGAGCUCAACUUCAUUGUUUCCUCUCUCGAGAGCUCGUCAUCGUCGCCAUCCAUAUUUCCCACACCGUAAACCAUUCUUCUUCCAUUUCUUUGCUUCUUCGCCAUC